Molecule: ribosomal RNA, 333 nt
Filed under: Triticum aestivum (bread wheat)
Lineage: Eukaryota; Viridiplantae; Streptophyta; Magnoliopsida; Poales; Poaceae
Description: partial small subunit ribosomal RNA
Source: RNAcentral
AUGAAUAUGGAUCCAUCCUUCUGUGCUAAUGAAGGGGUGGAUGUAAUAAGGCUGCUGGCAAUGCAUGGAUGCUUAGAUGAGAAAAGAAAUGGCAAGGAAACAGAGGGCGCAGGACUACUAGAGGCAAAGACAGACGGACGCGGUCGGAGCAGUAUGGCAGCGUCGAUGGGGAUGGAGGAGCGCACAGAGAUGCUGCGGAGCACUGCUGAUGAGCUUGUCGGCAGGACGAGCUGCACUCACUGCUGCACGGCAACCCCGGCCCGGUCUGCUUCGACAGGUUUGAGCCCUCCGUCACCGACCGCGUGCACAUCUAGCAGGGUGUUGGGAAGGUGA